Molecule: ribosomal RNA, 2900 nt
Filed under: Klebsiella pneumoniae BIDMC 46a
Lineage: Bacteria; Pseudomonadati; Pseudomonadota; Gammaproteobacteria; Enterobacterales; Enterobacteriaceae
Also listed under: 1 other name
Description: bacterial LSU rRNA
Rfam family: Bacterial large subunit ribosomal RNA
Source: RNAcentral
UUAAGCGACUAAGCGUACACGGUGGAUGCCCUGGCAGUCAGAGGCGAUGAAGGACGUGCUAAUCUGCGAAAAGCGUCGGUAAGGUGAUAUGAACCGUUAUAGCCGGCGAUGUCCGAAUGGGGAAACCCAGUGUGAUUCGUCACACUAUCGUUAACUGAAUACAUAGGUUAACGAGGCGAACCGGGGGAACUGAAACAUCUAAGUACCCCGAGGAAAAGAAAUCAACCGAGAUUCCCCCAGUAGCGGCGAGCGAACGGGGAGCAGCCCAGAGUUUGAAUCAGCUUGUGUGUUAGUGGAACGGUCUGGAAAGUCCGACGGUACAGGGUGAUAGUCCCGUACACCAAAAUGCACAGGCUGUGAACUCGAAGAGUAGGGCGGGACACGUGGUAUCCUGUCUGAAUAUGGGGGGACCAUCCUCCAAGGCUAAAUACUCCUGACUGACCGAUAGUGAACCAGUACCGUGAGGGAAAGGCGAAAAGAACCCCGGCGAGGGGAGUGAAAAAGAACCUGAAACCGUGUACGUACAAGCAGUGGGAGCACCUUCGGGUGUGACUGCGUACCUUUUGUAUAAUGGGUCAGCGACUUAUAUUCUGUAGCAAGGUUAACCGUAUAGGGGAGCCGCAGGGAAACCGAGUCUUAACUGGGCGUUAAGUUGCAGGGUAUAGACCCGAAACCCGGUGAUCUAGCCAUGGGCAGGUUGAAGGUUGGGUAACACUAACUGGAGGACCGAACCGACUAAUGUUGAAAAAUUAGCGGAUGACUUGUGGCUGGGGGUGAAAGGCCAAUCAAACCGGGAGAUAGCUGGUUCUCCCCGAAAGCUAUUUAGGUAGCGCCUCGUGAAUUCAUCUUCGGGGGUAGAGCACUGUUUCGGCUAGGGGGUCAUCCCGACUUACCAACCCGAUGCAAACUACGAAUACCGAAGAAUGUUAUCACGGGAGACACACGGCGGGUGCUAACGUCCGUCGUGAAGAGGGAAACAACCCAGACCGCCAGCUAAGGUCCCAAAGUCAUGGUUAAGUGGGAAACGAUGUGGGAAGGCACAGACAGCCAGGAUGUUGGCUUAGAAGCAGCCAUCAUUUAAAGAAAGCGUAAUAGCUCACUGGUCGAGUCGGCCUGCGCGGAAGAUGUAACGGGGCUAAACCAUGCACCGAAGCUGCGGCAGCGACACUAUGUGUUGUUGGGUAGGGGAGCGUUCUGUAAGCCUGCGAAGGUGACCUGUGAGGGUUGCUGGAGGUAUCAGAAGUGCGAAUGCUGACAUAAGUAACGAUAAAGCGGGUGAAAAGCCCGCUCGCCGGAAGACCAAGGGUUCCUGUCCAACGUUAAUCGGGGCAGGGUGAGUCGACCCCUAAGGCGAGGCCGAAAGGCGUAGUCGAUGGGAAACAGGUUAAUAUUCCUGUACUUGGUGUUACUGCGAAGGGGGGACGGAGAAGGCUAUGUUAGCCGGGCGACGGUUGUCCCGGUUUAAGCAUGUAGGCUGAUUAUCCAGGCAAAUCCGGAUAAUCAAGGCUGAGGUGUGAUGACGAGGCACUACGGUGCUGAAGUAACAAAUGCCCUGCUUCCAGGAAAAGCCUCUAAGCAUCAGGUAACAUCAAAUCGUACCCCAAACCGACACAGGUGGUCAGGUAGAGAAUACCAAGGCGCUUGAGAGAACUCGGGUGAAGGAACUAGGCAAAAUGGUGCCGUAACUUCGGGAGAAGGCACGCUGGUGUGUAGGUGAAGUCCCUGCGGAUGGAGCUGAGACCAGUCGAAGAUACCAGCUGGCUGCAACUGUUUAUUAAAAACACAGCACUGUGCAAACACGAAAGUGGACGUAUACGGUGUGACGCCUGCCCGGUGCCGGAAGGUUAAUUGAUGGGGUUAUCCGUAAGGAGAAGCUCUUGAUCGAAGCCCCGGUAAACGGCGGCCGUAACUAUAACGGUCCUAAGGUAGCGAAAUUCCUUGUCGGGUAAGUUCCGACCUGCACGAAUGGCGUAAUGAUGGCCAGGCUGUCUCCACCCGAGACUCAGUGAAAUUGAACUCGCUGUGAAGAUGCAGUGUACCCGCGGCAAGACGGAAAGACCCCGUGAACCUUUACUAUAGCUUGACACUGAACAUUGAGCCUUGAUGUGUAGGAUAGGUGGGAGGCUUUGAAGCGUGGACGCCAGUCUGCGUGGAGCCAACCUUGAAAUACCACCCUUUAAUGUUUGAUGUUCUAACGUUGGCCCCUUACCGGGGUUGCGGACAGUGUCUGGUGGGUAGUUUGACUGGGGCGGUCUCCUCCCAAAGCGUAACGGAGGAGCACGAAGGUUAGCUAAUCCUGGUCGGACAUCAGGAGGUUAGUGCAAUGGCAUAAGCUAGCUUGACUGCGAGCGUGACGGCGCGAGCAGGUGCGAAAGCAGGUCAUAGUGAUCCGGUGGUUCUGAAUGGAAGGGCCAUCGCUCAACGGAUAAAAGGUACUCCGGGGAUAACAGGCUGAUACCGCCCAAGAGUUCAUAUCGACGGCGGUGUUUGGCACCUCGAUGUCGGCUCAUCACAUCCUGGGGCUGAAGUAGGUCCCAAGGGUAUGGCUGUUCGCCAUUUAAAGUGGUACGCGAGCUGGGUUUAGAACGUCGUGAGACAGUUCGGUCCCUAUCUGCCGUGGGCGCUGGAGAAUUGAGGGGGGCUGCUCCUAGUACGAGAGGACCGGAGUGGACGCAUCACUGGUGUUCGGGUUGUCAUGCCAAUGGCACUGCCCGGUAGCUAAAUGCGGAAGAGAUAAGUGCUGAAAGCAUCUAAGCACGAAACUUGCCCCGAGAUGAGUUCUCCCUGAGACUUUAAGUCUCCUGAAGGAACGUUGAAGACGACGACGUUGAUAGGCCGGGUGUGUAAGCGCAGCGAUGCGUUGAGCUAACCGGUACUAAUGAACCGUGAGGCUUAACCUU